RNAcentral lists this ribosomal RNA (267 nucleotides) under Enterobacter hormaechei. RNAcentral describes it as "partial 16S ribosomal RNA". It matches the Rfam family "Bacterial small subunit ribosomal RNA", at positions 230 to 491 of the family's 1533-position model. The record is from RNAcentral. Lineage: Bacteria; Pseudomonadati; Pseudomonadota; Gammaproteobacteria; Enterobacterales; Enterobacteriaceae.
UGUGCAGAUGGAUAGCUAGUAGGUGGGUAACGGCUCACCUAGGCGACGAUCCCUAGCUGGUCUGAGAGGAUGACCAGCCACACUGGAACUGAGACACGGUCCAGACUCCUACGGGAGGCAGCAGUGGGGAAUAUUGCACAAUGGGCGCAAGCCUGAUGCAGCCAUGCCGCGUGUAUGAAGAAGGCCUUCGGGUUGUAAAGUACUUUCAGCGGGGAGGAAGGCGCUGAGGUUAAUAACCUCAGCGAUGACGUUACCCGCAGAAGAAGC